AGUGAACGCUGGCGGUAGGCCUAACACAUGCAAGUCGAACGGCCGCACAGUAAGAGCUUGCUCUUACGGGUGGCGAGUGGCGGACGGGUGAGGCAUACAUCGGAAUCUACUUUUUCGUGGGGGAUAACGUAGGGAAACUUACGCUACUACCGCAUACGACCUACGGGUGAAAGCAGGGGAUCUUCGGACCUUGCGCGAUUGAUUGAGCCGAUGUCGGAUUAGCUAGUUGGCGGGGUAAAGGCCCACCAAGGCGACGAUCCGUAGCUGGUCUGAGAGGAUGAUCAGCCACACUGGAACUGAGACACGGUCCAGACUCCUACGGGAGGCAGCAGUGGGGAAUAUUGGACAAUGGGCGCAAGCCUGAUCCAGCCAUACCGCGUGGGUGAAGAAGGCCUUCGGGUUGUAAAGCCCUUUUGUUGGGAAAGAAAAGCAGCAGGUUAAUACCCCGCUGUUCUGACGGUACCCAAAGAAUAAGCACCGGCUAACUUCGUG
RNAcentral lists this ribosomal RNA (492 nucleotides) under uncultured bacterium. Its description in RNAcentral is "partial 16S ribosomal RNA". It matches the Rfam family "Bacterial small subunit ribosomal RNA", at positions 29 to 507 of the family's 1533-position model. The record is from RNAcentral.